This is a long non-coding RNA of Pan troglodytes (chimpanzee), 455 nucleotides long. RefSeq lists it as uncharacterized. The record is from RefSeq and is a predicted model, not a curated record. NCBI's taxonomy places the organism in Eukaryota, Metazoa, Chordata, Mammalia, Primates, Hominidae. The transcript has 2 exons.
AAGUCAGUUCCUCGUGCUUCUAUGAGAAGGUCUGUUUCCUUGCUAGCUGUCAGCUAUGGGCUGUCUUAGCUAUUAAAGGCAACUCCCUGGUCCUUCUGUUGGCCCCCUAUGUCUCAGAACCAGCAUAGGUGCAUCAACUCUUUCUCAUGCUCAGAAUCUCUUGGACUUCCCCUUCUAUAACAUCUUUCCUGCCUUUUAUUCUACCACAUGUGACUCCAGCCUGAGAAAAUGAUCUGCCUUUAAGACUUACGUGAUUAGGUUGGGAUCACCCAGGAUUUUGAAAAAGCAAGCUGACAUAAAUCCUAUAAUCCCAAGGAAAUGAGUUUUACCAACAACCAGAGAAAGGUUGGAAGCAGAUUCUUUCUACGUAGAGCCUCCAGAUGAGAACCAGCUAAGUCAUGCCUGGACUUCUGACCCACAGAAACUGAGGGAUAAUAAGUGUUUUAAGCCACCAA